Molecule: transfer RNA, 63 nt
Filed under: Xylobanellus sp. UPOL A00615
Lineage: Eukaryota; Metazoa; Arthropoda; Insecta; Coleoptera; Lycidae
Description: tRNA-Phe
Source: RNAcentral
UUUUAAUAGCUUAUAAUUAGAGCAUGAUAUUGAAGAUAUCAAGGAGAUUAUGUCUUAAAAUAU